Molecule: long non-coding RNA, 1995 nt
Organism: Rhagoletis zephyria (snowberry fruit fly)
Lineage: Eukaryota; Metazoa; Arthropoda; Insecta; Diptera; Tephritidae
Source: RefSeq, a predicted model, not a curated record
GAAAACGUGCGCUGAAAAAGCUUUUUUGCUUCCGACUUCAAAUAAUUUCUUUCAGUUAAUUAAGAAAUAAUCUGGAUUUUGCCCAAAAUUUUAUUUUAAUUGGAAGCUUUUGUGGUAUGCUCUCGGUCGAACUAAUGCUGACAUGCCUAUUAUUGCGCUUUUUAAGGUAAUUAAAAUACUUCAUUGAAAUAGCUUAAAGAACCUGUAAACGAAAGCUUUCUCUGAAUAAUUAUCGAAAGCUUUUACUGAAGUUAAUAUAAAAGAUUUUAUUUUUCGAUUUUUUCAUGCGCCUACAUACAUACAUACAUAUGUAUGUAGUUGCAUAUAAAUGGGGCGUAUCGAACUUGCAUUGUUUUAUGAAAAUUCGGGGUGAAGUUCUUUUAAGGAAUAGAGAUUCUUCAAAGAUUUCCAAGGCUCUUUAAGUUAUAGCUUUUAUGUAGACGUGUACAGAGCAGAGCAGAGCUGACUCUGAUCGCGACUGAUCUGAAUCAUAGAUAAUGUAAACCUUUUGGGACAAGCUGUCAAUAAUAAUUUUACUUUAUUAAAUCAAAUCUGUUUUAUAAGCUUUGUGAGCUUUAAAUCAAUAAGAAAAAGUAACGUAUUUGUUCUACUAUUCAAAUAAAUUGUAGAUUAAAUUUGAAGAAAAGUUCAGUUUAAUUAUUUGAAAGCUUGUGGACGUUUGAAAGCUUAUUGAAAAUAUGUAAAAGCAAAAAGAAUGCUUUAAAAUUGUAUAAGUGCAUCGUCCGCGGAGAAUUUUGGCAAAAGCUCCAGAAAUCAUGUUACGGAUAGUUUCAAAACUUUAUGACAGCUUUGUGAGCUUUACAUCAAAUAUGAGAUUGAAGGCAUUUGUUGAUAUCAUCACAAGACACGAAUAAAGGCGCAAGUUCAAAAGUGGACCGCGAAAAAGACGCACUUCAGCGACGAAAGGCAUCCAAACCUAGCCGGCGGCGAAGAAAGACGCGUUAACUUGUUUUCGCGGUCAACUAUGUUUGCGAGUAUAAUAAUAGUAUGUAUAUUCCUUAAAAAGUUGUUGGGGAAUAAUGCUGAAGUGACUGUCCUUGGCUAGGUAUACAUCUAUGAUUACACGCCUUUCUUCGCCGUCAACUAGGUUUACACAUCUUUUUUCGUCCAUGCGUCCUUUUUCGCUGUCAAAAUAAUGGCUCGCCUUUAUUCGUGUCUAGGGACGAUAUGUACAUAGAUAUAGUCUAAUAACAUUUUUUAAAUUUAUUGAGAAUUUUUGGCGGAUUUAAAAUUGUAGUUUGAAGCGGUGGUGGGUAUCAGCUUGCUCGCGGGCAAAACUCUUUCAGCUUCUCAUACUAAAUGUAUAUAAAGUUUUGAAAGAACUUUGCCCACGGACAGGCCGGUACGCACCACCGGUUUAAAGCUUAACGAUUAGCAAAGGAUUUUUUAGGCAAAAGCUUAUUUCAGGAAACUUUUAAACAACUUUUAAGAAAGCUUUUAAGUGGCCCAAAAGCGAAAGUUGAGAUCGAAAAAGCUUUUAAAUAUGUUUUUUCCCCAAAGACCAACGCUUUGAAAUUAUCUGGAUAACCUUUCGAAUAAAAUCAGAGGCAAGGAUAUCUGAUACCUAGGCAAAUUAUAAAAAACUUGUAAAUUUAAAAUUUAUUAUUAAAGUGCAAACAUCUUUGCUAACUUAUUAAGCAUUAAAUUGCUAUUCAACGAUUUUUUAUUUAUUUUGAAAUGUAAAGGUUCUUUACGGCAUAAAUGCUGCUUGCAUUAAGUUAAGUUUUAUGCAAAUUCCUACUAUGUAUAAAUAUAGUGGUAAUAACGGUAUUGUUUGUAUACCCACUAGCUGGGAUAUUUUCGGACGCAUUUUACUUAGUGUGCUUGUUUUUGUAGGCGUGUAGGUGUGUUGUUUGUUAGUGGGUGUGAACUGGGGGCGUGUCUAAAUGAACUUAUCAAUACGAUUAUGGGUAAAAGCUAUGCAUAAUUUUGUUGUGCUUUUAAAAACUUUCUAUUUUUAUAUACAUUUGUAUG